CGAGCGCAGCCGGGCGCCCCCGCCGCCGCGCGCAGCCCGGGAGCGGCAGACGGGACAGGCGGGCGUGCGGACGCGCCGUCGGGGCCAGGGGAAGCGGAGGGGGCAGACGGCACCGCUCCGACGGGGGAACCUGCCCAGCAGCGCCGGAACCGGCGGAGAGAGCCGCUCCCCCCCUCCUCCCUCCCCAAUCCACCCCCGCGACCCUGGUCCUCCUCCUCCUCCUCCUUCUCCUCCUCCUCCUCCUCACCCCACUGGAUACAGCGAGGGAGACACUGCGGCGGAGGCGGCGGCGGCGGCGGCUCCUGCGGGGGGAAGGAAGCGCCCGGAGAGCGGAGCGGCAGGAGGCUGCGGAUCUGUGUGCCUGGCGCCCACCCAGCCCGAGGGGAGCCCCCAGAAUGCGGCUGAAGCCCGGCGCGCUCCUGCGCUUCUACAGCCUCUGCGGGAUCCUCAUACAAGGCUAAAUGAGGACAAUUGCCUAACUGGAUCUUCUGAAUGCACCUUGCCAAUACUAAGUUUGAAGACUAAUCUUGCUAAUCUACAGACCUGAGUGUAUACAUAUGCAUAAAGUAAGCAUCAGAGGAGAAGGAUAAGAUUUUCAAAGGUUGAAGACACUAGUAGUCAUGUGGAAGAGGCUUCAGAUUAAAACCGAACUCUGAUCACAGACUGUCCCAGAGUCUCAGCUGCUAGCAAGAGGUAUGGUUAGUGAAGUUUGACACAAGUAUCCUAUUUGAACACUGCUUCUCUGAUCCUUGUAAGAGCCAGGUUUUUUCUUCCUUAAAAUGAAACUAAGAGUUCUCUCUUAUAAUCUUAACUCACUGUAAUUUGUCCCUGAAAACGACUAGAUCAGUAAAAUCUUCUUAAACAGGAUUGUAAGAAGUAAGGAAGCACUAGAACUUUCUAAGAAAUGACAAAUACGCACUCUGGACACCUGUUCAGGAUUCUACUUCAUUGGUGGUAGUUAACUGUGAAAAUGUAGAAGUAAGAAAACUGUAGUAAUAAGAAAAAGGGUUAGAAAAACAGUUUGAUACAGAAUGGCAGAAUUCCUGGUGGCAGAGAAAACCAUCUAUUUUUCAAUAGUGUAUUUUUAAAUUUCCAUUUUUUUCUAAUUUAUUGUUAUUUUUUAUUUUAGUUACUGAAUAAUAUAACAUUUAUGCAUGGGAAAUUUGAAUCUUAAGUUUC
Molecule: long non-coding RNA, 1179 nt
Filed under: Dromaius novaehollandiae (emu)
Lineage: Eukaryota; Metazoa; Chordata; Aves; Casuariiformes; Dromaiidae
Description: lncRNA (ENSDNVG00000004294.1)
Source: RNAcentral